Molecule: RNA transcript, 1045 nt
Organism: Helianthus annuus (common sunflower)
Lineage: Eukaryota; Viridiplantae; Streptophyta; Magnoliopsida; Asterales; Asteraceae
Exons: 8
Source: RefSeq, a predicted model, not a curated record
UUCGCCCUUCUAGGCAUAUGAUCGAUCAAGGGUUCCUUUGGUUUGAGCUCAAGUAGUGGCGGCUUCAACUAGGGUUCUAUUGCAGAACCGAUCUGAUUUGAAUACCGGCGGCUAAGAGGUGUUUGAUGAUCCUAUGAAAAAUUUAGCAAACCAGGGAAGAAAAGAAGAUUUGAAAAUUCACAAUAGAUAGCAUUAACCAUUUUCAUAAGUCGGCAUAACAGAAGAAAAGUGGAGAUAGUUAUAUCUGGAGCUUCUAACCAUAAGAUUUAUCAUUACUAUUUAGGGAGUGGGAGCUACAUGGCCUAUGAGAAGCACAUGGAAUACACGGAGAGAAUUACAUCCAACUAUCAGGAUGGCGAUACUAAAAGAUGUUUGCUCUGUUUGUGUAAGGUAACCCAAAUCUAUUGCUCAUGUUGAGUUGAGUUCGAGAUCUUUUCAAGUUGUGGUCAUGUUGAGACGAAUGAUGGAUGUAAUGGGUGACAAAUAAAAAGCAUAAAAGAUAGACCGAUUUCAGGGGCGUUGACCGAAGAUGAGUUGAAACAGUUUUCGGGUUUGUCUUGUACACCACCAAGGAAGUCACCUGGCAAAAGCCCUAAUGAUAUGCCAAUAAAUGGUAGUGUUGGUAGCUACUGGAGCCACACGAGCUCAGCACAAUUUUCGAGCCCAUGUUCAUCGUAUAAAGGCAUACCGAAUGCCACCAGCAAGUACAGAGAGGCUUCAGCAAAGAGAUUCAUAGUAACAGGAACAGGGAAGAUUGUGAGGAGGAGAACUGGGAAACAACAUUUGCUUAGAAAGAAAAAUGCUAAGAGAACACGUCUCUUAAAACGGUUCAAGUCGACCGCAGUGACUACAACGAUGUCAUAGGGGCAUUGCCCUAUCUGAAGGUUUACCGGGCCAAUUAGUCCGGACCGUUAAACCGUUUUGACUCAGCUUGCAAGCUGUGUACAGAGCUAAUAGGUUUGUUGUAUUUAUGGUUAAGUGUUUUUACUCCUUUGCCUUGUUCAUGUAAUUCAUAGCCACCGCAGAUACAAAAUUUAUUAUGUAA